This 460-nucleotide ribosomal RNA is filed under the name uncultured bacterium. RNAcentral's name for it is "partial 16S ribosomal RNA". It matches the Rfam family "Bacterial small subunit ribosomal RNA", at positions 338 to 795 of the family's 1533-position model. The record is from RNAcentral.
CCUACGGGUGGCAGCAGUGAGGAAUAUUGGUCAAUGGACGAGAGUCUGAACCAGCCAAGUAGCGUGAAGGAUGACUGCCCUAUGGGUUGUAAACUUCUUUUAUAUGGGAGUAAAAUGUUCCACGUGUGGGAUUUUGUAUGUACCAUAUGAAUAAGGAUCGGCUAACUCCGUGCCAGCAGCCGCGGUAAUACGGAGGAUCCGAGCGUUAUCCGGAUUUAUUGGGUGUAAAGGGAGCGUAGGUGGAUUGUUAAGUCAGUUGUGAAAGUUUGCGGCUCAACCGUAAAAUUGCAGUUGAAACUGGCAGUCUUGAGUACAGUAGAGGUGGGCGGAAUUCGUGGUGUAGCGGUGAAAUGCUUAGAUAUCACGAAGAACUCCGAUUGCGAAGGCAGUUCACUGGACUGCAACUGACACUGAGGCUCGAAAGUGUGGGUAUCAAACAGGAUUAGAUACCCCAGUAGUC